GCUUGUAGAGGUGACGCAAGUUUAUAAACAAACCUGAAAAGAGAAAUAAUUGUUUAGGAAGAACUGAAAAAUCACUGCAGAGUACUUAUGACAGAUAACUGCACUGAGUUAAUAAUCAUUUCGGAUUUUCUUCUCACAUAUGGACAUAAAACGAUGAAAGCUAAAGACAAGAGAGAAACACAAUGAAACAACAACAAAAACUUACCUAAAAAUAACAAUAUAAGGUAGAUUUGAAGAAAGAAUGAAAAUUUGAUUGUAACGCUCAUCGGAUACGGCAGUGUGAAACUAAACUUCCCUGUUUCACUGAAGAUCGGAAUGGCCUGAAUCAGAGACACGGCUGAAAGCAGAAGGCCAAGAAGAUUAUAGGCAAAAUACAAAGGACAAGGUAAACUUGAGAGCUGGUCAAAAAACGAAGCUUCUCAAAGUUGUUCCCUUUUAAUGGUAAAAUAUUUUGAUCCAUUCUGACCAGCUCUUGUAAUCUAGAGAGACUUCAGCACAAACUAGUUUUAAGUGGCAUCUUUAAACACAGCUGCACCUAAGUCAUGAUAUUUUCCUACUUUUGUUUGUUGGCGUUGGUGGGCGAUGCUAUGAGUGUCCCAAGAUCCAGGGUCUUGGAGCCAAGAUUACUCAUGGGUCCCCUGUGCAAUUCAAGAGCCAGGUCCGUGCCCUUUCUAAGGGGUGCGGCCAUCACGUCCUCCACCCCCGGGGGACUGAGCCAGACUCCCUGAGUGACAAAGCACCCAGACACAGCUCUACUUCCCUGCGGCAGGAGGAGGGGAUAGGGACCAUACAGUGUUUUCACACACAAACAGUGAAAAACGGCUUCUCCCAAAUCUCACUAUGAAGAAAGUCAACCCAGAGAACCGAAGAAAAGCAACAACCCAAACCAGCCAAAAAAAGUACAUAAAUUGUGCAUCUGUUUUCCUGUGCAACCAUGUGUGGGGUGAUUGCUUGUGCCAAUGCCUCACGUCGUCUUCUCCUGCUCUUCCUGUUUAUUAAGAGGCCUGUGCUUCCUACCUCACUUUAAAUAGUCUCUCUCUUUUGGGAAGGGAGACAGCCUGAUGGGACCAUUCUCCUCUCUUCCCCCUUAGCCUAGAAGGAUUAUUUCAAGCGCAGACCACUAGCAUCGACUCUUGCUCCAGCUGCUCCAAUCACUUUGUAACUAGUUUUUGAGCAGCUCAGGCCAUGUAACUUUUCCCAAAGCUUCUAGCAAUGCCUUCAUUUGUGCCUUCAGCUGGGAGGAGACCUGGCUCACGCCAGUGUAGCUCCAAGAUGCACCAGCCUGGCAAUCCAAACAUUUCUUCUUGAGGUGUUACGGGAGGUGUUAGGGUGGCUGAAGAAAGUGACAGAGCUGGAGACUGAAGUCCUCUACGUAUCCAAAGGGCGAAGUACAGAAAGGCCAGUGAAAGUGUAAGCUUCCCUGCUGCAGACGUGCCUCACUCCUGCACCUCUACAGGUCAGAGAGCAGCAUGAUCUACAAGGCUGUGUUUUUGAAGCUUACCUUCUGCCAAGCCGCCUAGAGGAUAGAGAGGAAUCCAGAUGGUAUAUCGGAUCCAAGUUAGUAAUUUCCAUUCUAUAUCAAUGCAGGAAAGCAUGUAGAAUGGAUACCUAGAAUAAAAUUCAAAGUUUGAAAGCCAGACAUUACUUAAAAGUUUAACUUUCCUCUUAAGUUACAAUAUUGGGCAUAAUCACUGUAUGAUGUCGUGAAUGUCAAAUAUUCAUGAUAAACAUGAUAAAUUCGUUUAACUAUUAUCUUCAUUGUAAAUAAUGAUUACGAAUAUUAAAAAGGGACUGUUUCAUACGGAGCUGCGGCAGGUAUGUUUUUCCUCUCACAACUUACAGUACUAGACCUGUUAUCCUGGCAACCUGGAUAGGGUUAACUACCUGCUUUCUUCAACAAAUAUUUCAAUUUAGAUCCCAAAAAAUGAAUAGAAUACAAUGUAGUUUUUCCUGACGAACACCAGAAAUUCCAGAAUCCAUCAAAUUCUUUAGCCAAAGGUCUGAAUUUCUUGUGGAAAGUGACAUGAAAAUGAGAUUUCCCUACCAAGGGCUGGAAAUGGGUAGAGGAACAUAACAGCAAGUUUUCCCAGACACGGAGCAACAUAGGCUCUCGCAUCUCACAUUGGAAUCAGUCCCAGACUCUGCCAGAUACAGGAAGCUAGCAAGACAGUUAUGCUGUGGCAAAUCUGAGUCCAAGGAAUGUUUUACCAGCAGGGGCUAUAAUGCAAAUGCCACAGGGUGUUUCUUAAUGGCAAAAUCAAAAUUAUUUGAAAGCAAUG
This is a long non-coding RNA of Mauremys mutica (yellowpond turtle), 2279 nucleotides long. RefSeq lists it as uncharacterized. NCBI's taxonomy places the organism in Eukaryota, Metazoa, Chordata, Testudines, Geoemydidae. The transcript has 3 exons. The record is from RefSeq and is a predicted model, not a curated record.